This 497-nucleotide ribosomal RNA is filed under the name uncultured bacterium. RNAcentral describes it as "partial 16S ribosomal RNA". It matches the Rfam family "Bacterial small subunit ribosomal RNA", at positions 28 to 507 of the family's 1533-position model. The record is from RNAcentral.
GAUGAACGCUGGCGGCGUGCCUAAUACAUGCCAGUCGAGCGAACAGAUGAGGAGCUUGCUCCUCUGACGUUAGCGGCGGACGGGUGAGUAACACGUGGAUAACCUACCUAUAAGACUGGGAUAACUUCGGGAAACCGGAGCUAAUACCGGAUAAUAUAUUGAACCGCAUGGUUCAAUAGUGAAAGACGGUUUUGCUGUCACUUAUAGAUGGAUCCGCGCCGCAUUAGCUAGUUGGUAAGGUAACGGCUUACAAAGGCGACGAUGCGUAGCCGACCUGAGAGGGUGAUCGGCCACACUGGAACUGAGACACGGUCCAGACUCCUACGGGAGGCAGCAGUAGGGAAUCUUCCGCAAUGGGCGAAAGCCUGACGGAGCAACGCCGCGUGAGUGAUGAAGGUCUUCGGAUCGUAAAACUCUGUUAUUAGGGAAGAACAAAUGUGUAAGUAACUAUGCACGUCUUGACGGUACCUAAUCAGAAAGCCACGGCUAACUACGUG